Molecule: non-coding RNA, 190 nt
Organism: Oryza glaberrima (African rice)
Lineage: Eukaryota; Viridiplantae; Streptophyta; Magnoliopsida; Poales; Poaceae
Source: Rfam
UAUAAGUGCAGCGAUGAGUUUUGUGCCCAAUUUUAAUCGUCUCUCUUAUUUGAAAUUUUUUUAUGAUUAGUAUUUUUAUCGUUAUUAGAUGAUAAAACUAGUUCUUUAUGCGUGACUUAUGUUUUUAAACUUUUUUAAAAAAUGUUUCAAAUAAGACGGACGAUCACGGAAAAUCAUGGCUGCACUUAUA